GAUGAACGCUGGCGGCGUGCUUAACACAUGCAAGUCGAACGUGAAGAAGCAGCAAUGCUUCUGAAAGUGGCGGACGGGUGAGUAACACGUGGGUGACCUGCCUUGCAGAGGGGGAUAACGAGGGGAAACCUUCGUUAAUACCGCAUAGGCUUACACUGAUGGGAAUGGUGUGGGUAAAACUGAGGUGCUGCAAGAGGGGCCUGCGUCCGAUUAGCUAGUUGGCGGGGUAACGGCCCACCAAGACGAUGAUCAUUAGGGGAACUGAGAGGUUGAUCCCCCACACUGGCACUGAGAUACGGGCCAGACUCCUACGGGAGGCAGCAGUAGGGAAUAUUGGACAAUGGGUGCAAGCCUGAUCCAGCCAUGCCGCGUGCAGGAAGAAAGCCUCUGGUUGUAAACUGCUUUUGCCAGGGGAGUAAAAACAACUUUGCGAAGUGGAUUGAAGGUACCUGGU
This 454-nucleotide ribosomal RNA is filed under the name uncultured bacterium. RNAcentral's name for it is "bacterial SSU rRNA". It matches the Rfam family "Bacterial small subunit ribosomal RNA", at positions 28 to 483 of the family's 1533-position model. The record is from RNAcentral.